CGAAUGGCGUAAUGAUGGCCAGGCUGUCUCCACCCGAGACUCAGUGAAAUUGAACUCGCUGUGAAGAUGCAGUGUACCCGCGGCAAGACGGAAAGACCCCGUGAACCUUUACUAUAGCUUGACACUGAACAUUGAGCCUUGAUGUGUAGGAUAGGUGGGAGGCUUAGAAGUGUGGACGCCAGUCUGCAUGGAGCCGACCUUGAAAUACCACCCUUUAAUGUUUGAUGUUCUAACGUUGACCCGUAAUCCGGGUUGCGGACAGUGUCUGGUGGGUAGUUUGACUGGGGCGGUCUCCUCCUAAAGAGUAACGGAGGAGCACGAAGGUUGGCUAAUCCUGGUCGGACAUCAGGAGGUUAGUGCAAUGGCAUAAGCCAGCUUGACUGCGAGCGUGACGGCGCGAGCAGGUGCGAAAGCAGGUCAUAGUGAUCCGGUGGUUCUGAAUGGAAGGGCCAUCGCUCAACGGAUAAAAGGUACUCCGGGGAUAACAGGCUGAUACCGCCCAAGAGUUCAUAUCGACGGCGGUGUUUGGCACCUCGAUGUCGGCUCAUCACAUCCUGGGGCUGAAGUAGGUCCCAAGGGUAUGGCUGUUCGCCAUUUAAAGUGGUACGCGAGCUGGGUUUAGAACGUCGUGAGACAGUUCGGUCCCUAUCUGCCGUGGGCGCUGGAGAACUGAGGGGGGCUGCUCCUAGUACGAGAGGACCGGAGUGGACGCAUCACUGGUGUUCGGGUUGUCAUGCCAAUGGCACUGCCCGGUAGCUAAAUGCGGAAGAGAUAAGUGCUGAAAGCAUCUAAGCACGAAACUUGCC
This 806-nucleotide ribosomal RNA is filed under the name Escherichia coli. RNAcentral describes it as "partial 23S ribosomal RNA". It matches the Rfam family "Bacterial large subunit ribosomal RNA", at positions 1993 to 2798 of the family's 2925-position model. Lineage: Bacteria; Pseudomonadati; Pseudomonadota; Gammaproteobacteria; Enterobacterales; Enterobacteriaceae. The record is from RNAcentral.